UAGUCCACGCCGUAAACGAUGGAUACUAGCUGUUUGUUUCGAUUUAUCGAGAUGAGUGGCCAAGCGAAAGUGAUAAGUAUCCCACCUGGGGAGUACGUUCGCAAGAAUGAAACUCAAAGGAAUUGACGGGGGCCCGCACAAGCGGUGGAGCAUGUGGUUUAAUUCGAUGAUACGCGAGGAACCUUACCAAGGCUUAAAUGCAAUACGCAUACUAUGGAAACAUAGUAGUCCAUUGGACGGAUUGCAAGGUGCUGCAUGGUUGUCGUCAGCUCGUGCCGUGAGGUGUCAGGUUAAGUCCUAUAACGAGCGCAACCCCUGUUGUUAGUUGCCAGCAUUUUAAAGAUGGGGACUCUAACAAGACUGCCGGUGCAAACCUCGAGGAAGGUGGGGAUGACGUCAAAUCAUCACGGCCCUUACGUUUUGGGCUACACACGUGCUACAAUGGUAGGUACAAUGAGCAGCCACUGGGUGACCAGGCGCUAAUCUUAAAAACCUAUCACAGUUCGG
This 507-nucleotide ribosomal RNA is filed under the name uncultured bacterium. RNAcentral's name for it is "bacterial SSU rRNA". It matches the Rfam family "Bacterial small subunit ribosomal RNA", at positions 791 to 1296 of the family's 1533-position model. The record is from RNAcentral.